ACAGGUGUGAGCCGCCGCGCCCGGCGCAGGCGCACAGCCGCCCUCUGAACCUUCUCUUCCUUUCACCAUCUAACCCAGAUUCCCUUAGUUGUGUCAGGUGAGAGCCCAGGAGGCCCCCUUCCCUUCCCCAGGUUUUCCGGAGCCAUUACAGCCAGACGCUGUAAGGGACCUGUACCCAAGACAGUUUCCGGCUGGGAAUCGAAACCACAGGCUCUUUAGUUCCUGCAGAAGACCGAGCUCCACGGCAUCCGUUGAUAUGGGCGUCACCGGUGACGCUCAAAUGUCGCAGCACUUUCCACUUGGACAUCAGAAUAGUGCUCCACAUUUGAGGCCCACAGGGUUGAGUCUUCUCAAGCGGUAACACUCAAAAGAUGGCGGCACUUUCACCAGAGAGCAGAAAGUGCCCCCACAGUUUGAGUGCCACAGGCUGAGGGGAUGCGGCAAGGCGGCGAUCGCAAGUGGAAGCACUUACCCAUCAGAAGAGGCUUUUAAGCAAGGAGGUGGAGAGUAGCCCUUGAUGAGCUGUUGAAGGUCUACAAAGCACGAAUUUAACGACCCUUUCUUAAAAAGUAAAAAACAAGGCUUUCCACGUAUAGAUAUUCAAAGCACUCCCCCGCCCAUAGCCUCCAGAUGCAAGCCAUGAGGACUGAGUACAAUGCAAGUAGGAAGGAACACGUGUGAGGGACAGUGGGGCCUUCGUCCUUAAGACUGAAAAAAAAUCACAGAAAUAGAACAAAAGUACAGCCCGGCUGGGCGGAGUGGCUCAAGCCUGUAGUCCCAGCUACUCGGAAGGCUACGGUGGUAGGAUUGCUCUUGAGCCCAGGAGUUCGAGACCAGCUUGGAUAACAUAGAAAACCCCAUCUCUCCUAAAAAAAAAAAAAAAAAAGCAGAAAAACGCACAUGGGAAUGGUGGUGCGCGCCUGUGGUCCCAGCUACUGGAGGCUAAAAGGGUGAGUCCCAGGAGGUCGAGGCUGCAAGGCGCCAUCAUCCUACCUGUGCACUUCAUCCUGGGCGACAGUGAGAUCCUGACCCUAAAAAAUAAAGUAAAAUGAAAGAAAAUAAAAUAACAUAGCAAUA
Molecule: long non-coding RNA, 1077 nt
Organism: Homo sapiens (human)
Lineage: Eukaryota; Metazoa; Chordata; Mammalia; Primates; Hominidae
Exons: 2
Source: RefSeq, a predicted model, not a curated record